AAAAUUUAGCCAAACAUGGAAGAACUAGGGUGUCACACCUCCUUUUUCGCUAUCCACAACCCGGCCAAGGGUGUAGACAGGAGAGUUUUCCAAUAAAGGACAAUCGAAACAGGAUUCAAUUUUUUAAGAGAGUUUCAGAGUCGCCACUUAGGAGAUUUAUGGUGUCCCAAGUCACCAGUUAGAAUCCCAAAUUGAGGAAAGAAUAACUCUGUUUAACCCGCGAACCAGAAAUCCGAGUAAGGAAUUAUGUUAACCCGGGAGAAUGUGUUAGACAUUCCCGAGUUCCGU
RNAcentral lists this long non-coding RNA (288 nucleotides) under Nicotiana benthamiana. RNAcentral's name for it is "long non-coding RNA (NBEN_LNC003063)". The record is from RNAcentral. Lineage: Eukaryota; Viridiplantae; Streptophyta; Magnoliopsida; Solanales; Solanaceae.